This 417-nucleotide ribosomal RNA is filed under the name uncultured bacterium. RNAcentral's name for it is "bacterial SSU rRNA". It matches the Rfam family "Bacterial small subunit ribosomal RNA", at positions 29 to 430 of the family's 1533-position model. The record is from RNAcentral.
AACGAACGCUGGCGGCGUGCCUAACACAUGCAAGUCGUGCGAGAAAGUUCCUUCGGGAGCGAGUAAAGCGGCGCACGGGUGAGUAACACGUAGGUAACCUGCCCCCCAGUCUGGAACAACUAGAGGAAACUCUAGCUAAUGCCGGAUGAGACCACGAUCCCUUCGGGGGUUGCGGCCAAAGAUGGCCUCUACUUGUAAGCUAUCGCUGGGGGAUGGGCCUGCGGGCCAUUAGCUUGUUGGUGAGGUAACGGCUCACCAAGGCUGUGAUGGCUAGCUGGUCUGAGAGGAUGACCAGCCACACUGGGACUGAGACACGGCCCAGACUCCUACGGGAGGCAGCAGUGGGGAAUAUUGCGCAAUGGGCGAAAGCCUGACGCAGCGACGCCGCGUGGGUGAUGAAGGCCUCGGUCGGUAACG